GAUGAACGCUGGCGGCGUGCCUAAUACAUGCAAGUCGAGCGAACGGACGCGGAGCUUGCUUCGCUGACGUGAGCGGCGGACGGGUGAGUAACACGUGUAUAACCUACCUAUAAGACUGGGAUAAUUUCGGGAAACCGGAGCUAAUACCGGAUAAUAUCUUGAACCGUAGGGUUGAAUAGUGAAAGACGGUCUUGCUGUCACGUAUAGAUGCAUCUCCGCUGCAUUAGCUAGUUGGUAAGGUAACGGCUUACCAAGGCAACGAUGCGUAGCCGACGUGAGAGGGUGAUCGGCCACAUUGGAAGUGAGCCGCGGACCAUGCUACUACGAGAGGCAGCAGUAGGGAAUCGUAGGCAAUGGGCGAAAGCAUUGCAGAGCAACGGCGAGUGAGUGGUGACGAUCUUCCGAUCGUGAAGCUCUGUUAUUAGGGGUGAACAUAUGUGUAAGUAACUGUGCAGAGCUUGACGGUAACUAAUCAGAAAGCCACGGCUAACUACGUG
Molecule: ribosomal RNA, 497 nt
Filed under: uncultured bacterium
Lineage: Bacteria
Description: partial 16S ribosomal RNA
Rfam family: Bacterial small subunit ribosomal RNA
Source: RNAcentral